This 1798-nucleotide ribosomal RNA is filed under the name Gonionida aff. andamanica. RNAcentral's name for it is "SSU rRNA". It matches the Rfam family "Eukaryotic small subunit ribosomal RNA". Lineage: Eukaryota; Metazoa; Arthropoda; Malacostraca; Decapoda; Munididae. The record is from RNAcentral.
GCCCAUGCAUGUGUCAGUACAAACUAAAUGAGAGUGAAACCGCGAAUGGCUCAUUAAAUCAGCUAUGAUUCAUUGGAUCUGUACACCCAGUUUUCCUUGGAUAACUGUGGUAAUUCUAGAGCUAAUACAUGCACAUAUAGUCCCUGCCCUCCUCUCUUGUCUGACGAUGAGAGAGAGAGGGAAGGGCGCUUUUAUUAGUAUCAAAACCGGUCGGGCUUCGGUCUGUUAACCUAUUUGAUGACUCUGGAUAACUUUUAGCUGAGCGCACGGUCUUUUGCACCGGCGCCGCUUCUUUCAAGUGUCUGCCUUAUCAGCUUUCGAUUGUAUGUUAUGUGCCUACAAUGGCUAUAACGGGUAACGGGGAAUCAGGGUUCGAUUCCGGAGAGGGAGCCUGAGAAACGGCUACCACAUCUAAGGAAGGCAGCAGGCACGCAAAUUACCCACUCCCGGCACGGGGAGGUAGUGACGAAAAAUAACGAUGCGAGACUCAUCCGAGGCUUCGCAAUCGGAAUGAGUACACUUUAAAUCCUUUAACGAGGAUCAAUUGGAGGGCAAGUCUGGUGCCAGCAGCCGCGGUAAUUCCAGCUCCAAUGGCGUAUAUUAAAGUUGUUGCGGUUAAAAAGCUCGUAGUUGGAUUUCAGUAUUGGACUGAUGAGUUUUUUCACCUUCGGGUGAUUAAACGGAAUCAAGCUUCAAAACCUGCUACCACAAUAAUUACAUUGUGUGUUGCUCAACUAGCUCACACGGGGUGCUCUUAACCGAGUGUCCCGAGUGGCUGGUAUGUUUACUUUGAAAAAAUUAGAGUGCUCAGAGCAGGCUACAAAUGGCCUGAAUGUCUAUGCAUGGAAUAAUAUAAGAGGACCUCGGUUUUAUGUUUUACCGCGUUUCUUUUGGAAACCCGAGGUAAUGAUUAAUAGGACCAAGUGAGGGCAUUAGUACUGCGACGCUAGACUUCAUUAAUCAAGAACGAAAGUUAGAGGUUCGAAGGCGAUCAGAUACCGCCCUAGUUCUAACCAUAAACGAUGCUAACCAGCGAUCCGCCGUAGUUAUUCCCAUGACUCGGCGGGCAGCUUCCGGGAAACCAAAGUCUUUGAGUUCCGGGGGAAGUAUGGUUGCAAAUCUGAAACUUAAAGGAAUUGACGGAAGGGCACCACCAGGAGUGGAGCCUGCGGCUUAAUUUGACUCAACACGGGAAACCUCACCAGGCCCAGACACUGGAAGGAUUGACAGAUUGAGAGCUCUUUCUCGAUUCAGUGGGUGGUGGUGCAUGGCCGUUCUUAGUUGGUGGAGCGAUUUGUCUGGUUAAUUCCGAUAACGAACGAGACUCUGGCCUAUUAACUAGUCGACGGAUUUCCAAACCAUGCAAUUGGUGUCCAGUUCGCAAUAUUAUCUUCUUAGAGGGAUAAGCGGUAGUCCUAGCCGCACGAGAAUGAGCAAUAACAGGUCUGUGAUGCCCUUAGAUGUUCUGGGCCGCACGCGCGCUACACUGAAGGGAUCAGAAUGUUUUCCCCCUCCGAAAGGAGCGGGUAACCCGAUGAAACCCCUUCGUGAUAGGGAUUGGGGCUUGUAAUUAUUUCCCAUGAACGAGGAAUUCCCAGUAAGCGCAGAUCAAGAGUUUGCGUUGAUUACGUCCCUGCCCUUUGUACACACCGCCCGUCGCUACUACCGAUUGAAUGAUUUAGUGAGGCCUUCGGACUGUCGCUCUUGGAUAUCUUGGCUUAAUGCUAGUUCCUAGAGCUGACGGAAAGAUGUCCAAACUUGAUCAUUUAGAGGAAGUAAAAGUCGUAACAAGGUUUCC